This 91-nucleotide transfer RNA is filed under the name Gammaproteobacteria bacterium. RNAcentral's name for it is "tRNA-Ser". It matches the Rfam family "tRNA". Rfam says of the family: Transfer RNA (tRNA) molecules are approximately 80 nucleotides in length. Lineage: Bacteria; Pseudomonadati; Pseudomonadota; Gammaproteobacteria. The record is from RNAcentral.
GGAGAGGUGGCCGAGUGGCUGAAGGCGCACGCUUGGAAAGCGUGUAUGGGUUAAUAGCUCAUCGAGGGUUCGAAUCCCUCUCUCUCCGCCA